Molecule: ribosomal RNA, 468 nt
Filed under: uncultured bacterium
Lineage: Bacteria
Description: partial 16S ribosomal RNA
Rfam family: Bacterial small subunit ribosomal RNA
Source: RNAcentral
GACGAACGCUGGCGGCGUGCUUAACACAUGCAAGUCGAACGGAAAGGCCCUGCUUUUGUGGGGUGCUCGAGUGGCGAACGGGUGAGUAACACGUGAGUAACCUGCCCUUGACUUUGGGAUAACUUCAGGAAACUGGGGCUAAUACCGGAUAGGAUCUCCUGAUGCAUUGUGGUGGUUGGAAAGGUUCGGCGGUUGGGGAUGGACUCGCGGCUUAUCAGCUGGUUGGUGGGGUAGUGGCUUACCAAGGCUUUGACGGGUAGAAGGCCUGCGAGGGUGACCGGACACAUUGGAAAUGAGAUCGGGACGCAACUCCUACGGGAGGCAGGAGUGGGGAAUAUUGCACAAUGGGCGGCAGCCUGAUGCAGAAAAGCCGCGUGCGGGAUGAAGGCCCUGGUGUUGGAAACCGAUUUCGCAUGUGACAAAGCGAGAGUGCCGGUAAUGGGUAAAGAAGCACCGGCUAACUCCGUG